AUGUUCGAAUUUUCUCUUCAAUUUUUGAAUUGGCAGAGAAAGAGAGAGGGUUUCUGGCUGGGUCUCGGGUGGGGUUGGAGGUGUUUUGGGUAGAGAGAAAAACUAAGGGUGAGAGAGAGGAAGAGAGGGAGAAGACAAGGACAGUAAGGCCGCCGCCGCUUGCAUCCCUAAGGACUCUGCUUCCACUCCUAAUAAGGAGAGCCCAAGAAGAGGACUUGCAAUGGCUACAAGUGAACCCAGAUCGAGUUCUCGAAAAUUGGGCUUGUAGA
This 269-nucleotide long non-coding RNA is filed under the name Prunus dulcis (almond). RNAcentral describes it as "sRNA ncRNA". The record is from RNAcentral. Lineage: Eukaryota; Viridiplantae; Streptophyta; Magnoliopsida; Rosales; Rosaceae.